CCUGCAUACCCUGGCCUCAAGGCAUCAAAUCCCAUCUGAUAUUGGAAGCUAAGCAGGAUCAGCCUUUAUUAGUACUUGAAUGGGAGACUGCCAAUGAAUAACAGGUAAUCUAGGC
This 115-nucleotide ribosomal RNA is filed under the name Anolis carolinensis (green anole). The record is from RNAcentral. Lineage: Eukaryota; Metazoa; Chordata; Lepidosauria; Squamata; Anolidae.